GACGAACGCUGGCGGCGUGCUUAACACAUGCAAGUCGAACGGAAAGGCCCUGCUUUUGUGGGGUGCUCGAGUGGCGAACGGGUGAGUAACACGUGAGUAACCUGCCCUUGACUUUGGGAUAACUUCAGGAAACUGGGGCUAAUACCGGAUAGGAGCUCCUGCUGCAUGGUGGGGGUUGGAAAGUUUCGGCGGUUGGGGAUGGACUCGCGGCUUAUCAGCUUGUUGGUGGGGUAGUGGCUUACCAAGGCUUUGACGGGUAGCCGGCCUGAGAGGGUGACCGGCCACAUUGGGACUGAGAUACGGCCCAGACUCCUACGGGAGGCAGCAGUGGGGAAUAUUGCACAAUGGGCGGAAGCCCGAUGCAGCAACGCCGCGUGCGGGAUGACGGCCUUCGGGUUGUAAACCGCUUUCGCCUGUGACGAAGCGUGAGUGACGGUAAUGGGUAAAGAAGCACCGGCUAACUACGUGCCAGCAGCCGCGGUGAUACGUAGGGUGCGAGCGUUGUCCGGAUUUAUUGGGCGUAAAGGGCUCGUAGGUGGUUGAUCGCGUCGGAAGUGUAAUCUUGGGGCUUAACCCUGAGCGUGCUUUCGAUACGGGUUGACUUGAGGAAGGUAGGGGAGAAUGGAAUUCCUGGUGGAGCGGUGGAAUGCGCAGAUAUCAGGAGGAACACCAGUGGCGAAGGCGGUUCUCUGGGCCUUUCCUGACGCUGAGGAGCGAAAGCGUGGGGAGCGAACAGGCUUAGAUACCCUGGUAGUCCACGCUGUAAACGGUGGGUACUAGGUGUGGGGUCCAUUCCACGGGUUCCGUGCCGUAGCUAACGCUUUAAGUACCCCGCCUGGGGAGUACGGCCGCAAGGCUAAAACUCAAAGGAAUUGACGGGGCCCCGCACAAGCGGCGGAGCAUGCGGAUUAAUUCGAUGCAACGCGUAGAACCUUACCUGGGUUUGACAUGGAUCGGGAGUGCUCAGAGAUGGGUGUGCCUCUUUUGGGGUCGGUUCACAGGUGGUGCAUGGCUGUCGUCAGCUCGUGUCGUGAGAUGUUGGGUUAAGUCCCGCAACGAGCGCAACCCUUGUUCACUGUUGCCAGCACGUUAUGGUGGGGACUCAGUGGAGACCGCCGGGGUCAACUCGGAGGAAGGUGGGGAUGACGUCAAGUCAUCAUGCCCCUUAUGUCCAGGGCUUCACGCAUGCUACAAUGGCUGGUACAGAGAGUGGCGAGCCUGUGAGGGUGAGCGAAUCUCGGAAAGCCGGUCUCAGUUCGGAUUGGGGUCUGCAACUCGACCUCAUGAAGUCGGAGUCGCUAGUAAUCGCAGAUCAGCAACGCUGCGGUGAAUACGUUCCCGGG
This 1343-nucleotide ribosomal RNA is filed under the name uncultured bacterium. RNAcentral describes it as "16S ribosomal RNA". It matches the Rfam family "Bacterial small subunit ribosomal RNA", at positions 28 to 1378 of the family's 1533-position model. The record is from RNAcentral.